Dalotia coriaria is the source of this 454-nucleotide long non-coding RNA. RefSeq lists it as uncharacterized. The record is from RefSeq and is a predicted model, not a curated record. Lineage: Eukaryota; Metazoa; Arthropoda; Insecta; Coleoptera; Staphylinidae. The transcript is spliced from 3 exons.
GUGAUGCCGGCACGCAUCUCUUACGAGUACUUCGUGCGGCAAGUAAUAAUACUCCGGCGGGUAUUCGUGUUUCUCGUUGUAAAUUCGGUAGAUCGCGUUAUAUUUGAUUGAAUUUAGUCUUAAUUGUCAUGUUUAGUCAUUCGCUAAAUAUUUUUCGCGUGUGUAAUCUUCGGAAGUCAAUAUUUUGUGUGUUUAUUAUAUUUCCGCGGGCAAUCCGUUGCCGUCGGAUGCCGGCCGGCCUUAUUGUGUGAUUGUAAAUAAUUGGUAUUGCAGUUAAUUUUGGACUUGUGCGAACCAUUUUUGUCUCCUGCUCAACUCGUCGGCUCAAUGUGCUACCUGUAUCUACUCACAUUUGAUUUGCGGUGUUCGAUACACUGGUACUGCGUCUAUUGCAAUUCGCGUACAAAGGUCACGUGCCAUCCACACGCCGACUUGACGCAUCUAUUUGCUUUAC